UCCCCUAAAUAGCCUCAGGUGCGUGAGGAUUGGGUGACAGACAAGUUACCUCCGGGACAACUGGCUUGUGGCUGCUAAGAGAUCAAAUCAACGCAGCUUUUUGAUUCUUCGAUGUCGGCUCUUCCUAUCCUAGUGAUGUACAAGUUGCUAAGGGUCGGAUUGUUCACCCGUAUUAGGGAUCGUGAGCUGGGUUUAGACCGUCGUGAGCCAGGUUUGUUUUAUCCUACUGGAUAUAGCAUCAUGAUAGUAGAUUGAUUUAGUACGAGAGGAACUGUUGAUUAUGGCCUCUGGUUAGCGAUUAUCGGAAACGGUAUGUCGCGCAGCUACGCCGUCUGGGAUAAUGGCUGAAAGCCUCUUAAGCCAGAAGCCCAUCUAGAAAGUGAUGCACGUGAUGUUGGACCGAUACGAAUAAUCAUACUCAAAAGGUCCGCUUCAUAGGUAACCCAAUGUAGAAGACAUUGUGUGAACGAAGGUACUGUAAGCAGUGGAGUGGCAUUACGUCCACGACCUGUUGAGGUUCAGCUUCGCUUCUAGGUUUCC
This 540-nucleotide non-coding RNA is filed under the name Trichomonas vaginalis G3. Its description in RNAcentral is "Eukaryotic large subunit ribosomal RNA". It matches the Rfam family "Eukaryotic large subunit ribosomal RNA", at positions 2764 to 3401 of the family's 3401-position model. Lineage: Eukaryota; Parabasalia; Trichomonadida; Trichomonadidae. The record is from Rfam by way of RNAcentral.